CCUACGGGAGGCAGCAGUGGGGAAUCUUCCGCAAUGGGCGAAAGCCUGACGGAGCAACGCCGCGUGAUCGAAUGAAGGCCUUCGGGUUGUAAAGAUCUGUUGACAGGGACGAAUAAGCAAUGCGAAUAGUUUUGUGUCUGACGGUACCUGUUUAGAAAGCUCCGGCUAACUACGUGCCAGCAGCCGCGGUAAUACGUAGGGAGCAAGCGUUGUCCGGAAUUACUGGGCGUAAAGGGCGCGUAGGUGGGCGCGUAAGUCAGGUGUGAAAACUCCGGGCUCAACCUGGAGACUGCACUUGAAACUGGGUGUCUUGAGGGCAGGAGAGGAAAGUGGAAUUCCUAGUGUAGCGGUGAAAUGCGUAGAUAUUAGGAGGAACACCAGUGGCGAAGGCGACUUUCUGGACUGUACCUGACGCUGAGGAGCGAAAGCGUGGGUAGCAAACAGGAUUAGAUACCCGGGUAGUC
RNAcentral lists this ribosomal RNA (464 nucleotides) under uncultured bacterium. Its description in RNAcentral is "partial 16S ribosomal RNA". It matches the Rfam family "Bacterial small subunit ribosomal RNA", at positions 338 to 795 of the family's 1533-position model. The record is from RNAcentral.